CCUGCCGCUGCCCUGAGGGCGUCUGCAGACUGCGAAGGAGAAAGUAGCCGGCGCGGUGGUGCACACCUGUGAACCCCAGCACUCUGGGAGACUACAACUUAGUGAUUUAGCGAAACCCCGUCUCAGAAAGUGAAGAGGGAGGGGGCUGGCGUGAGAGUCCUUGAGGUCUAUCCCCCUAGCAGGGAUGGGGGUUUAGGGGUGGGGUAGGAAGAGUGCUCUGUUCCCACCACUGCACCGCUGGCUGUCGCACAGUCCUGUUUCUCAGCCCACAUGAAGGCAUUUGAGGCCUCCUUCCCAUCCUCCAACCUUUUAAUGUUUUAUCUACCGUACUACCUUCUCUGCUUAAGAAACCGAGUAUUUGUCCUGCAGUAGGGCCACGUUCUUCCAAAAGCUUCCUGCGGUGGUCCAUCUGAACCUCUUGCUUUGUUCUGAGACAAGGUUUCGCUGUGUAGUUCAGGCUGGCCUUGAACUCACAUUGAUCCUCCUGCCUCAGCCUCCCAAGUGUUGGGCUCACAGGUAUGCGCCACCAGGCCCAGCUUGCUCUUCUUUUUAAGACCCAGCUCACAAAUACCACUUGUUUCCUUUUGUUCCUGAAGUGCCAAUUGCGCCUCAGUUUAAGGUGCUUUGCCUGGAAAGCCUUGCUCCUCGCCGCAUUAGUUUGCGUUGUAGAAAGGCAUUUGUUUGGUAAGUCUCUGGUUCUUCCAGUCCCUCAGUGUAGAAGUCUCAAGUACUCUUGAUUUCAGUGGAGAAUUUUUCCAAGGUUACCUUACCUGGUUGGUACUGCUAUUUUCUUUCAGGGGCCAGAGAACAGGAGCAGAAUGGUUUACAGAGCCCAGUACGUUAGUAGCUUUCCUCUGCUCCUUGGAUAGAGGUCUGACAGUGUUAACAGUCUGCAGGCCUGGCCUUGCCUAUCUUUCCCUACCCAGUUCUUGUCAGUGGUCCCUCAGUUCCCUGCGGGCUGGCCACCCUGACCUUGUUUGGUUUCUUGGUUCCUUCAACUUUGCGUUUUUCUCUCCCAACUUCAGAGCCUUUGUGAGGCUGUUUGCCCUGCCUAGGAAUUCUCCACCCUCUGCCCAUUCUUCAGGGACCCUUCCUUGCUGUCCCUGUCCAUCCUGUGCUGUCAUAAUGCUAUGUACUCCUUGGCUCUUCCUUCUCAGCACAGUUGCCCAGUCAAGGGAAGAAAGGCAAAGGGCCAGGCAAGCCCCGCGGGAGGAAGCAGAAGAAGCCGGAAGUGGACAUCCUGAGCCCUGCCGCCAUGCUGAACCUGCACUACAUCGCACACAACGCAGCCGACUGCCUGCAGCUGCGUGGCUUCCACUGGCCCGGUGCGCCCAAGGGGAAAAGGGGCAAGAACAAGACCUAAGGGAAGAGAGACUGGAAUAAGUGGAUGAAGAUUGCAAGCAAAAUAGACUUUACUGAAGACAUUUGGAAAUGCGUGCUCAGGUGCUUUUAGUGGGAAAUUAGGAUUUAAUGCGUUUUACUUCCUCAGUGAAGCCAGGUGUAGCUAAGGGGAGGUUUUUCAAGUUAAGGGAAAAGUCUGAGUAAUUCUUACACACUGUAGUGGAAUUCAUACUACUUUUAAUAAUUCUGUACCAGAAUUAAACCUUGCUCUCACAAGGCAGUCCCAGUUUGCAUGAGUUGUUUACUUUUGCAGAAGGAGGUUUGUUAUUUAGAGAAGACACAGCACGUGCUCCGGCUUUACUUGUGAACAUUCCUCUCUUGGGCACUGUUUUUUGUUUUUGUUUUUCUCCUGGUGCAGGGGAUGCCAGGACUUGGACAAAGCACUCAGCAAGCUGCCCGACAGAGGCACUCCCUUAAUGUCAUCUGAUGUUGGCUGGCGUGGUGGCCCUGGCCUAUAAUCCCAGCACCUGGGAAGCCGGGAAAGAGAAUUGAUGUGAGUUCAAGGCUAGCUUGGGUUACAUAGUGCAAGGCCAGCCUGCUCUAAGACCCCACCUCGAAAACCAAAAUAAAUAAGUGUAUGUGCACUGUCCAGAUAGGCAAGAGCUACUUGUGAUUGAGCACAUGGAAUGUGGCUGAGACCAUGAGAGAACUGAUCUGAUUUGAUUACCUUGUAAUUAAAUUGGAUGUUUUGGGGCCAGGCCUUGAGGCAUCCAAGAUCCAUGUCAGUGCCAGGGACCUCACAGCAGGGUUGUGGUUCUUCCUGCCUGUAUGCUGGUGGUGAGACCAGGGAUUCUGCCUGCUGGAACACUCGGCCCUCUCUAUCCACUCUAUCACCCCCACCACCUUGCAAGGAUGCUUGCUAUACAUUUCUGUUUUCCCACAACUUCAGCUCAGCUUUAUGGCCCUUCUUUUGCUUGGUUUGAACUUCAGUUUCCUCUCCCACAUCCCUCAUUAUUGGGGUGUGACCGGAGGGAGGACCCAAUGCACACCCCAUGCCUUUGUGGGGCCCAGCUCUGUUGCAGUAGCGAGGGAUGAGCCCUCGCCAUCAGCCCCUUCCCCUUGCCCCUCAGCUGAGCCUGACGGGUGGGAUGGUUGGGUUGGGUAUUACUGGACAGGGACACCCAGAGUGUUGGGACUGUGGUCCUGAACACUCACUUCCACUCCCUCUACAUCUCCCCUCAUGGUCAAGAUCCUGAAAAAAAUUUACUUCUGCUUCAGGUUUUAUUCACUUCCUAAUCUUUCUGUCAAACAUUUUUUCUUCCCCUCCCUCCCUCUCUUCCUUCUUUCCUUUCUCCCCCUCUUUCUCUUUUGCUCUCUCUCUCUCUCUCUCUCUCUCUCUCUCUCUCUCUCUCCUUAUACCCACUUAGUAUUUUUUGUUCGUUUGUUUGGUUUGAUUUUUUGAGACAGUCUCACUGUGUAGUCCAGGCUGGCCUCCAUGUUGCUCUCCUGACUCAGUCU
RNAcentral lists this long non-coding RNA (2859 nucleotides) under Fukomys damarensis (Damara mole-rat). RNAcentral's name for it is "lncRNA (ENSFDAG00000025833.1)". The record is from RNAcentral. Lineage: Eukaryota; Metazoa; Chordata; Mammalia; Rodentia; Bathyergidae.